AAGAAACCAAAAGCCUCUUAGCAACACAGACCCUUUGCUGCUGCUGCUGCUGCUGCUGCUGCUGCUGCUGUUGCUGCUGCUGCUACUGCUGCUGCUGCUACUGCUGCUGCUUGGCCCUGGCUGGAGACAUCUCACUACACCCAGGAGCAGCCACUUCCCCAGCUCUCCUCCUCCUCCUUCGCCUCCUCCUCCUCCACUCCCCCCCUUUAUUACCCUUUGUGUCAUCCUCCACAGCUCCAGGGAAGGCACUCAAAAGUGGGGGGCAGGAAAGGGUUUUGCUUUGUCAUCCUGGCCAGAGUGCAGUGGCACAAUCACAGCUCACUGCAACCUCGACCUCCUGGGCUCAAGUGAUUCUCCCACCUCAGCCUGCUGAGUAGCUGGGACUACAGCCCACAUAUGACAGUGGACAUAGAGGACAACGCAGAUAUAGAACAUUUCUUUUAUCACAAAUCUUGCUCUGUCGUCCAGGCUGGAGUGCAGGAGUGCAGUGGUGCGCAAUCUCCGCUCCCUGCAACCUCCGCCUCCCGGGUUCAAGCGAUUCUCCUGCCUCAGCCUUCUGAGUAGCUGGGACUACAUGCGCGUGCCACCACGCUCGGCUAAUUUUUUGUAUUUUUAGUAGAGAUGGGGUUUCACUGUGUUAUCCAGGAUGGUCUCGAUCUCUAGACCUCAUGACCCGCCCGCCUCGGCCUCCCAAAGUGCUGGGAUUACAGUCGUGUGCCACCGCGCCUGGCCGUUUAUUGAAUAGGUUUUUCUUUACCAUUGAUUUUCAGUGUCUACUUGGUCUUAUAAUUGUAUUUCCAUAUGUGUAUGGGUCACCUUCUGAACUCAUUAUUGUGUUGCAUUGGUGAAGUAGUUCUAAAUCUUCCCUUAAUUGUUGUAAGUUUAGAUAAGUCUUGGUAGUUGAUAAUGUAAGACAUGUCACAUAGUUCUCUGUUAGAAAUUUUAUAAUCAGUUUGGCAUGUUCUGUAAGAAAUCUUGUGGGGAUUUUGAUUGGAAUUGAUCUAAUUAUUAUAAUUUAAUUUUAUGUCCAAGACCAUGGAAUACCUCUCCUUAUAUUUUACUCUACUUUAAUGUCUCUCAA
RNAcentral lists this small RNA (1081 nucleotides) under Pongo abelii (Sumatran orangutan). RNAcentral describes it as "processed transcript". The record is from RNAcentral. Lineage: Eukaryota; Metazoa; Chordata; Mammalia; Primates; Hominidae.